GAGACACGCUGGCGGCGUGCCUAACACAUGCAAGUCGAACGGAGAGGCUUGACAGAACACUUCGGUGGGACGACAAGUUUUCUUAGUGGCGGACGGGUGAGUAACGCGUGAGCAACCUACCUUUGAGAGGGGAAUAACAGUUGGAAACGGCUGCUAAUACCGCAUAAAGUCAGAAAGACGCAUGUUUUUCUGACCAAAGAUUUAUCGCUCAAAGAUGGGCUCGCGUCUGAUUAGAUAGUUGGUGAGGUAACGGCCCACCAAGUCGACGAUCAGUAGCCGGACUGAGAGGUUGAACGGCCACAUUGGGACUGAGACACGGCCCAGACUCCUACGGGAGGCAGCAGUGGGGAAUAUUGCACAAUGGGCGCAAGCCUGAUGCAGCAACGCCGCGUGCGGGAAGACGGCCUUCGGGUUGUAAACCGCUGUCCUUGGUGAAGAAAGAAAUGACGGUAACCAUGGAGGAAGCCACGGCUAACUACGUG
RNAcentral lists this ribosomal RNA (482 nucleotides) under uncultured bacterium. RNAcentral describes it as "bacterial SSU rRNA". It matches the Rfam family "Bacterial small subunit ribosomal RNA", at positions 33 to 507 of the family's 1533-position model. The record is from RNAcentral.